ACCACCUUCACUCGCAUUCACACACCUACGAGCAGGUGCAGAGUCACCUGGUGACCAGGAAGUAGAAUGUAGCACAAAAAGGUCCUGAAAGGACCACCUCUAAACGAGGACACACAACUCCUCAGAGAUUAGAUGUUUCCUCCUCUGACCGUCAUCACGUCAAUGUCUUUUUACUAUUGUGUUGUUUGAAUAAUGAGUGUCUUCACCGGCUUGAUGUCACCUAAUGAAAACAUGUACAUAUAUAUAUAUAUAUAUAUUAUACACACACAAUCCAGAACGGAAGGUUGUUCUCUUCACUGUAUCACGUCUGGGUGAUGGUGUCCAUACUCCUGUCAGUGAACAAUGGUCCCGAGACUUCACAGGAGGGACAGAGGAGCAACUUAAAUGUUGGCGACGUUCAUGUAGAUGUAAAAUUAAUAAUCGCAGCAGCAAAAGUUAUUGCACGUGAUUUCAGAGCGAGUGCGAUAAGUCAUUUUAUCGCAUGUUGGGACAGACUACUUGAAUCUCUUUAAAACUUCAAACUACGUUGCUGUAAAUCCUAAAUGUCCACAGUGUGGGACUAAUGAAGGGUUAUAUCUUAUCUCUGGGACAAAGUGUCCUUCCUUAGCUUUAUUAAUUGUAUUUCCACAAACUAACGCUGGAUGUUAGAGCAACAAAGAUGGAGCCCAACACAGCAAAUCACACCGGAUACAAGAACACAGAAACCCUGAAACCUUCAGACUGCGUUAUUGUCCAAUCAGCAGCAUCACAGAUGUGUCAGUCAGGAACGUCUUCAGGCCUUUGGCUUCUUUACCUCAACCCACAACCAUAGUGAUGUGUCACUGCAUAUAUAUAUAUAUAUGUGUGUAUAUGUAUAUAUGUAUGUAUGUACAGUGUAUAACACAAACGGCACAUUUGUCCCCAACCUCAUCAUCGCUUGUUUCUUCCUCUGGUGGGCGGAGUCCUAACGAGCCAAUCAGGAGGCGGCGGAGGGGAGCGCUUAACGAGGGCGCCAUGGUGAACACACAUAUCCACGGCGGGUUUGUUAGAGAGACGCACUGCAGCGUUUGGUAAAUGGAGCUCGACUGGUGCAGCGUGGGGGUGGGUGUGGGUGUGUGUGUGUGUGUGUGUGUGUGUGUGCGUGUGUGUGUGUGCGCGUGUGCGCGUGCGUGCGUGCGUGAGACGUGGCCCCAGGUCUCCAAUUACAGACCAAAUUUGUCAUCUGGAACAGAGACCAAAACACCUGCUCACAACAUCUGCUGAGGUGCCUGCAGGAAGCUUGUGUGUGUGUGUGUGUGUGUGUGUGUGUGCGUGUUUGUAUGUGUCUUUUUUACAAAAUCUUUUUUUUUAUUUAAGCGCCGCUGCAUUAUUUAAUAUCGUCAAACCUGAUAUCAACAUUUCAUUUUUAAAUAUCACUGCCGUCCCCUUAUUUUUACCAUCACUGUUUGCUCAAAGCGAAACCUUUAUUCUUAUUUUCAGUGUCUUUGGCUGAGUGCAAAAGGAGCAGGAAGAGCAACCAAACGGCUUCAUUUUAAACAUGAUUUGCUCAAAGCAGCAGCACAGCGCUAACUCUUGUUAAUUUGAGCCCCAGCUACAACUCUGAGUGCCAUAAAUCACAUUUACAUAAUAGCAAUUUGCAGAAGCAAAUAUGUUCAGCGGGAAACAUAAUGGCACCUAAAUGAAUCCCAGCAUAACGAGCUGCUGUUAAUUAACACAUCUUCAAAGCGUUCAUUACCAACACAACGUGGUCAUGAUUGGUCAACACUGGUGACCCGUGAAACACAAUCUUUAACCCCAAAUAAUGACAAUAGCCCAACACAGUAACGAUGUGACAGUCAGGAAGGUCUUCAGGCCUAAUAACAUAAUCUCGCUUUAGAUGAAGAAAUUAGUCGAGUUUCUAUAAAACAGUUGAUUCUCCACAGUGAGAAAAUCCACCACAAAACAAACCCUUCCUACAAGUAUUUAAUGACCACAACCAGCAUUAAUACAUUAUAGAUGGAUGGAUGGCUUGGUAGAUGGAUGAAAGGAUGAAUAGAUGAAUCAAUAUAUGGUUGGAUAAAUGGAUAGCUGGAUGGAUGUAGAAUGAUGGAUGGAUGGACUGAUCAAUGGAUCGAUGUAGGAUUGAUAGAUGGAUGGUAAAUAAAUAGAUGGAUGGAUGGAUGUAGAAUCAUGGAUGGAUGGAUUGGUAGAUGGAUGGGUAAAUAAAUAGAUGGAUGGAUGGAUAAUGAUGGAUGGAUGGAUUGGUAGAUGGAUGGGUAAAUAAAUAGAUGGAUGGAUGUAGAAUGGUGGAUGGAUGGAUUGGUAGAUGGAUGGGUAAAUAAAUAGAUGAAUAGAUGGAUGGAUGGAUGUAGAAUCAUGGAUGGAUGGGUUGGUAGAUGGAUGGGUAAAUAAAUAGAUGGAUGGAUAGAUGGAUGGAAGGAUGGAUAGAUGAAUCAAUAUGGUUGGAUGAAUGGAUAGCUGGAUGGAUGUAGAAUGAUGGAUGGAUGGAUGGAUGGAUUGGUAGAUGGAUGGGUAAAUAAAUAGAUGGAUGGAUGUAGAAUGAUGGAUGGAUGGGUUGGUAGAUGGAUGGGUAAAUAAAUAGAUGGAUGGAUGGAUGCAGAAUGAUGGAUGGAUGGAUUGGUAGAUGGAUGGGUAAAUAAAUAGAUGGAUGGCAAUGUAAAUAAGUGAACUAAAAAAAAAGAAAAACAAAUGGAAGAAAAAAAAGGAAGAAUCUAACAAAUCCACUAGUUAGCAUUAGUAUUUUUUCUAAUUUAUUGAACCUUUAAUGGAGACCAGAACAGAUGCUACACCCCUAAUGAACUAAACAGCAGCUGGAACACACAUCUCUGGCUGCUUAGAAUAAAUAAAGGGGAAUAAAAAUGGCUCCUGGAACUCUACUCUGCCCGGCGGCCUCCGCGAUGACCCAACCACAUUUGUCGGUCUUAUCCCCGUUUCCAGGCCAACGCCACGGGAGCCAUCCGGCGCCACAGGCCGUGGUGUUUGAAAUUGAUGAACUAAUUUACAUUCAUGCAGGCUACUUAUUUGAAAGGUGGUAUUGUGAAGAAGUCCCUCCAGCAGAAGGAAUAAAUCACAGCACCAUUUCUCUUCAUAAGCAGCGCAUUGGGUCAGGGUGGAGAUAGUGGAUCUCAGGAGGGAGGGAUUGGAGCCAGUUUUGGUCGUCCUUUGGAUGAUUAAAGCUCCGGCAGAUCUGAAGUGUGGACAGUCGAAGUCCCGCCCCCUUCUGGUCGACAACCUUUUUUCAGAUCAAUGAUGUACAACAGAAGGCAAAUAAUAUUUUGAUAACCCUUUUUUUGUUCAUUUAAAAGAUAAUUGUGCACGUGAAGAAAGUUGGCCUACAGUAUAAGACUGAAAUUAGAAAAACUUCCCAACCCAACGUGUCUUUGUGUGCUCCAUGGCUACACUUCCUGUACACUUGUGUAAAAACCCAACAUGCUGACGUCCAUGAUGCAAGAUGGCUCCAGGCUUCUAAUCUCUAUCCUCAGCCUCUAACAUCACCCGGAAAACAAGAUGACUACUUUUUGAGCGACUAGCGUGUUAAUUGAUGAUGUCACUCGCAUUAACGUACCUGACGGAUGAUGCCAAUUUCUUCCAAGAAAAAUAUGAAAAAUUAAAACUAAAAAGCUAGACAGCUAAAACAGUAGAGCAGAGGUAAACAUAAACGAGGGGAAUUAUCUCAUAAGGAUUGGUGCUGUGAGGUGCCCUCUACAUCUUCUGUUCCAAGACUUUAGAAACCUUUUGUCACACCUGUAUGUCAAGUUGCGUUUUUGUCCUGUCUCCAGUUGUUUUUUGACUUCCUGUUUUAUUUUGGAAACUAACUCCCUCUCGUUUCAGGUCCCUUGCCCUUCCUCAUGUGUCACCAGUCUGAUUGUCUCCCCUGAUUCCUGAUUGUGUCCACCUGUUCCCACAACUCCCUCAUGGGUACUU
Long non-coding RNA from Gasterosteus aculeatus aculeatus (three-spined stickleback), 3903 nucleotides. The record is from Ensembl. NCBI's taxonomy places the organism in Eukaryota, Metazoa, Chordata, Actinopteri, Perciformes, Gasterosteidae.